CAUGAUGCUUGAGUGAUUUUUAUUCUUAAGCCAUGAUCAUGUCACCUUAGGUCGAUCGGUACCUCAGGUCUAAUAUUCAAGUUCUUUUUGAGAAAUCAUAUUUGAAUUUGAUUAAUGACAUCAGUUCCUAAACUUGUCUAGGUCACACCCCGCAAGGGUACUCCUGGGCCAUUAGCUCAGGUGGUUAGAGCGCACCCCUGAUAAGGGUGAGGUCCCUGGUUCAAGUCCAGGAUGGCCCAUUCGGUGUUGGGGGUAUAGCUCAGUUGGUAGAGCGCCUGCUUUGCAAGCAGGAUGUCAGCGGUUCGAGUCCGCUUACCUCCACUGAUCAACCUCCUUACAUUGAAUUUAGAGGAGAUUGACUUUGUUAGAUGUGAUUUAGAUGUUGUUCAACUGAAAGAACCUAGCUUCUUAUCAUUCCAUUCAAUUGAGAAUUAGAUUGGUUGAUAUGACGCUGGGCUCACUGAAAUUAUUUAAUUUCAGUUAAGUUCAGUAGAACCUUGACAACUGCAUAGGUGAGUCUGGAAAGAAUUAAAGCAUCUCAUGGAUGCAUUUUUCUUUUAUCAAUUACUGUUUUUUAUUAUAUAGAAAACAGUCUUUUGCUUAUUAGAAAUAUGCCCAAUUCUUGACUAAGAGCUGAGAAUCUAUUGUG
RNAcentral lists this transfer RNA (649 nucleotides) under uncultured Prochlorococcus sp. Its description in RNAcentral is "partial 16S-23S ribosomal RNA intergenic spacer". The stretch from base 249 to 321 matches the Rfam family "tRNA". Lineage: Bacteria; Bacillati; Cyanobacteriota; Cyanophyceae; Synechococcales; Prochlorococcaceae. The record is from RNAcentral.